UAAUUUUUCGCUGUUUGUGCUUAAGCUGAACCGGAUCAACUUGCUUUAUUGGACCGAAUUAAUUAUUCUAUAUAUUUCUAUUUUUGAACCAGAUUUCUUUUUNGAGGUGAGGUAGAGGCGGAGGAGCCGGCCGGUGGUGGCGGAGGAGUCGGCCGGUGGUGGCGACAAAAUUGGGGAAGAAAGAGAGGAUAAUCUUAGGGAUUACUAUAAUAAAGUAGGGGCAAAAUAGGUAUUUUGUUCAGGUUUUAACUCUAGUAUAGAUUUAACCCAUGUUUAACCCGAGUUAAGCUAACAGGGGAUAACUGCGGGGGUAUUUUGGAAUAACGGUGGAACGUAUGAGGGACAUUUUAGAAAGAAAAAAAAAGUAGGGGUAGAUCGGAUAUUUUCGAACGCAUGAAGGGUAUAUAGGCAAUUAUCCCUAAUAAAAAAAUAAACAUCUAUGUCUAUACAUUAUUUUUCUUAAAUUUUGUCAUAUGGUAUUAUUAUCUUUUUUGUUAAAUUAAAUAUGGGCUCCACCAUUUUUUUUUUGUUUGAACCAAAUCAUGUUGUUGGGUGCCACCUUGAACCGGCUCAAAUCCUCCAAAUAAUUAUAUAAUUUUUCGCUGUCUGUGCUUAAACCAAACCGGAUCAACUUGCUUUAUUGGACCGAAUUAAUUAUUCUAUAUAUUUCUAUCUUUGAACUGAAUUUCUUUUUAUCAGAAUCGAACUAAUAAUGCUAAACCGGGUCAACUUACUUCAUUAGAUCGAACUAAACCAAUUGCUCUAUAUAUUUUUAUCUUUGAACCAGAUGUCUCUUUUAAUUUAUCUGAAUCGAACCAAUAAUUAUUGAAUAAGAGCUCCACCCUGAACUAGCUCAAGUUCUCUUCUUUUUUUGUUUGAACCAAACCAGAUUUUUUUUUCUUUGCUUAAACCGAACCAGUGCCCUCUUUCUUGCUUGAACCGAGCUUGGUCAAAUCUAUACCCUUUUUCUCUUCUUUUUGUUUUUAUAGAAAUUCUCAUUAAGGACUUUUUUUUAGAAAACAAGAAAAUUAACUAAUAUUUGUAUUAAUUUAUUAUUAAUAUUGAUAUAAAAUAUAAUAAUAAAAUAUUUAGCAAACAUGUAAUACCUUCAUUUAUUUUUAAACUGUUAACUCAUACAUAUAGAUUGCCUACACGUUUGAAUAAUUUAUAAUCAAUUAAAUAUAAAUUAUUUAAAAAUUUAUGAAAAUAUAUAUCAUUAAUAUUUUUAUUUUUUAAAAAAAUUUUCUGCACGUCGCAUUGCACGGGUUACUACACUAGUUAAAUAAUAUAUUUAAAGGUUAAUUGCUUAUAUACCUCUGAAAAUUUUUAAUUUUCUAAUUUAUUCUUCUUAGAAGGUUAAUAUUGAAAAUAUAUUUUUUAUAUUUCAACCUAUUUCAAAUAUACCCCUAAAGUUAAAUUCUAUUAAUAAUUGUUAGCAAUAACUGUUAUCUCAAUGAAAUUACUAUUUUGUCAUUUCAAAUAUACUUUUAUACCAUCACCGACUUUUCUUAUUUGCUAGGGCUAUAAAAAAUAUUUUAAUGUUUGAUCUUUUUAAAUAUACCCUUAUGCCAUCAUCAAUAUUUUUUAUUUGUCCUUAUGUUAAGAACAAAAUAGGCAUUUUGAUUUUUUUUAAAUUCUGAUAGAUAUUUAAUUCACGUUUAACACAUGUUAAUUUAACGAAUGGUAACUGUAAAGAUAUUUUAGAACAAAAGAGGAAUAUAUAAGGGGUAUAUAAAAAAGAAAAAAAAAAGUAAAUAAAAUAUUUUCAAAAUUUUAAGAAGUAUAUAGGCAAUUAU
This 1796-nucleotide long non-coding RNA is filed under the name Ananas comosus (pineapple). RNAcentral's name for it is "long non-coding RNA (ACOM_LNC002630)". Lineage: Eukaryota; Viridiplantae; Streptophyta; Magnoliopsida; Poales; Bromeliaceae. The record is from RNAcentral.